UGCUUUAAGGAUAUUUGUUAAGGA
This 24-nucleotide microRNA is filed under the name Medicago truncatula (barrel medic). Its description in RNAcentral is "mtr-miR5760". Lineage: Eukaryota; Viridiplantae; Streptophyta; Magnoliopsida; Fabales; Fabaceae. The record is from miRBase by way of RNAcentral.